GAAUUUUCCGCAAUGGGCGAAAGCCUGACGGAGCAACGCCGCGUGGGGGAUGACACCUUUCGGGGCGUAAACCCCUUUUCUGUGGGAUGAAGACUGACCGUACCACAGGAAGAAGGCCCGGCUAACUACGUGCCAGCAGCCGCGGUAAUACGUAGGGGCCGAGCGUUGUCCGGAAUUACUGGGCGUAAAGCGCGCGCAGGCGGCUGAUCAAGCCUGACGUGAAAGCCCCCGGCUCAACCGGGGAGGGUCGUCGGGGACUGGUUGGCUUGAGGGCGGUAGGGGCCGGUGGAAUUCCCGGUGUAGUGGUGAAAUGCGUAGAGAUCGGGAGGAACACCAGUGGCGAAGGCGGCCGGCUGGGCCGACCCUGACGCUGAGGCGCGAAGGCGUGGGGAGCGAACGG
This 400-nucleotide ribosomal RNA is filed under the name uncultured bacterium. RNAcentral describes it as "bacterial SSU rRNA". It matches the Rfam family "Bacterial small subunit ribosomal RNA", at positions 359 to 775 of the family's 1533-position model. The record is from RNAcentral.